GGGUUGUGAGGUUAAGCGACUAAGCGUACACGGUGGAUGCCCUGGCAGUCAGAGGCGAUGAAGGGCGUGCUAAUCUGCGAUAAGCGCCGGUAAGGUGAUAUGAACCGCAAUAACCGGCGAUACCCGAAUGGGGAAACCCAGUGUGUUUCGUCACACUAUCAUGCAGUGAAUACAUAGCUGUAUGAGGCGAACCGGGGGAACUGAAACAUCUAAGUACCCCGAGGAAAAGAAAUCAACCGAGAUUCCCCCAGUAGCGGCGAGCGAACGGGGAGGAGCCCAGAACCAUCAUCAGCUUGUGCAUCAGUGGAAGCGUCUGGAAAGUCGCAGGGUACAGGGUGAUACUCCCGUACACAAAGGUGCACAGGCUGUGAGUUCGAUGAGUAAGGCGGGACACGUGGUAU
Molecule: ribosomal RNA, 401 nt
Filed under: Pantoea sp. AMG 501
Lineage: Bacteria; Pseudomonadati; Pseudomonadota; Gammaproteobacteria; Enterobacterales; Erwiniaceae
Description: bacterial LSU rRNA
Rfam family: Bacterial large subunit ribosomal RNA
Source: RNAcentral